RNAcentral lists this unclassified non-coding RNA (226 nucleotides) under Hevea brasiliensis (rubber tree). The record is from RNAcentral. Lineage: Eukaryota; Viridiplantae; Streptophyta; Magnoliopsida; Malpighiales; Euphorbiaceae.
GCUGAACCUGGUAAUCAUGGAGCAAUCUGAGCUCGGCGAGGGUCUUCUCCAUUUCGUGGACGGUGCGAGUGCAGUAGAUGAGCUUGACAGGAUUUUGGGGUUUGGAGAGGGCGUAGCUAGUGAUGAGGGAAAGAAGGGCGAUGGUUUUUCCAGUGCCUGUGGGCAUUUCGAGAAGACAAUGGCCCUUGGCGUCGAGAGCUCGCUUCAGCUCGAGCAUGUAAGCGUA